GAUGAACGCUGGCGGCGUGCUUAACACAUGCAAGUCGAACGAAGCAAUUUAGCGGAAGUUUUCGGAUGGAAGCUGGAUUGACUGAGUGGCGGACGGGUGAGUAACGCGUGGGUAACCUGCCUCACACUGGGGGACAACAGUUAGAAAUGACUGCUAAUACCGCAUAAGCGCACAGGACCGCAUGGUCCGGUGUGAAAAACUCCGGUGGUGUGAGAUGGACCCGCGUUUGAUUAGCUAGUUGGUGGGGUAACGGCCUACCAAGGCGACGAUCAAUAGCCGACCUGAGAGGGUGACCGGCCACAUUGGGACUGAGACACGGCCCAAACUCCUACGGGAGGCAGCAGUGGGGAAUAUUGCACAAUGGGGGAAACCCUGAUGCAGCGACGCCGCGUGAGUGAAGAAGUAUUUCGGUAUGUAAAGCUCUAUCAGCAGGGAAGAAAAUGACGGUACCUGACUAAGAAGCCCCGGCUAACUACGUGCCAGCAGCCGCGGUAAUACGUAGGGGGCAAGCGUUAUCCGGAU
RNAcentral lists this ribosomal RNA (522 nucleotides) under uncultured Clostridiaceae bacterium. RNAcentral describes it as "bacterial SSU rRNA". It matches the Rfam family "Bacterial small subunit ribosomal RNA", at positions 28 to 550 of the family's 1533-position model. The record is from RNAcentral. Lineage: Bacteria; Bacillati; Bacillota; Clostridia; Eubacteriales; Clostridiaceae.